AUGGCAUAUAGUCUAGUGAAGCCAAAGAACUAACAUGAUUAUACUAAUAAUCAUCAAACUGAUAAUUCUGCAGCAUUUUUCAGAAUCCAGUGAUGUUACACAGACACCAGUAUUAUGGGUUCAACAGGGUGAAUUUGCACAAAUGAACUGCAGUCAUACUAUGGGUGCAGGCUAUAACUACAUGUAUUGGUUUCAACAACGAAAGGGAGAAACAAUGAGACUCAUUGCCUCCAUUAUAACAGGCAGCAAUCCAGAUUUUGGUGAAUUUUCUGAUGAUAAAUACUCAGCUGAAAAGACUGUAGCUGAUAAAGGGUCUUUCACAGUGAAGAAGCUGCAGCCCGAUGACAGUGGUGUGUAUUUCUGUGCAGUGAG
Cyprinus carpio (common carp) is the source of this 372-nucleotide long non-coding RNA. RefSeq lists it as uncharacterized. NCBI's taxonomy places the organism in Eukaryota, Metazoa, Chordata, Actinopteri, Cypriniformes, Cyprinidae. The record is from RefSeq and is a predicted model, not a curated record. The transcript is spliced from 2 exons.